GAUGAACGCUAGCUACAGGCUUAACACAUGCAAGUCGAGGGGAAACGACAUUGAAGCUUGCUUCGAUGGUCGUCGACCGGCGCACGGGUGAGUAACGCGUAUCCAACCUGCCUCUGACCAAGGGAUAACCCGUCGAAAGUCGGCCUAAUACCUUAUGCAGUCGUCGGAAGUCAUCUGAUGACGACGAAAGAUUUCAUCGGUGAGAGAUGGGGAUGCGUCUGAUUAGCUUGUUGGCGGGGUAACGGCCCACCAAGGCAACGAUCAGUAGGGGUUCUGAGAGGAAGGUCCCCCACAUUGGAACUGAGACACGGUCCAAACUCCUACGGGAGGCAGCAGUGAGGAAUAUUGGUCAAUGGGCGAGAGCCUGAACCAGCCAAGUAGCGUGCAGGAUGACGGCCCUAUGGGUUGUAAACUGCUUUUAUGCGGGGAUAAAGUGAGGGACGUGUCCUUCAUUGCAGGUACCGCAUGAAUAAGGACCGGCUAAGUCCGUG
This 491-nucleotide ribosomal RNA is filed under the name uncultured bacterium. Its description in RNAcentral is "partial 16S ribosomal RNA". It matches the Rfam family "Bacterial small subunit ribosomal RNA", at positions 28 to 507 of the family's 1533-position model. The record is from RNAcentral.